Molecule: ribosomal RNA, 467 nt
Filed under: uncultured bacterium
Lineage: Bacteria
Description: partial 16S ribosomal RNA
Rfam family: Bacterial small subunit ribosomal RNA
Source: RNAcentral
GACGAACGCUGGCGGCGUGCUUAACACAUGCAAGUCGAACGGAAAGGCCCUGCUUUUGUGGGGUGCUCGAGUGGCGAACGGGUGAGUAACACGUGAGUAACCUGCCCUUGACUUUGGGAUAACUUCAGGAAACUGGGGCUAAUACCGGAUAGGAGCGCCUGCUGCAUGGUGGGGGUUGGAAAGUUUCGGCGGUUGGGGAUGGACUCGCGGCUUAUCAGCUUGUUGGUGGGGUAGUGGCUUACCAGGGCGUUGAUGGGUAGCCGGCCUGAGAGGGUGACCGGCCAAAGGGGGACUAGGAGAGGGCCCAGGUGCGUAGGGGGGGGAGAAGGGGGGAAUAUGCCACAAGGGGCGGAGGCCGGAUGAAGAACCGCGGCGUGUGGGAGGACGGCCGUCGGGUGGUAAACCGCUUUCGCCUGUGACGAAGGGUGAUGAAGGGAAAGGGGUAAAGAGGCCCGGGUAAACUAGUG